ACGGAAUGUGUUUGCCAGAACAAUGCGGGAGUUGCAGAGAGAGGUGUCCUGUGUUUGUUCCCAGUCUUCCUUCAUUCACCUGCACCUGCCCCUGCCCUGCUUUGGCCAACAUGUUCUAUGCAGAGUCUUAGAGGCAAGAUUAGAAUGUUAAUCUAAAAGGAGUGCAAAUUUCUUCAACCAUUCCCACAGAGGAAGGUCUACUCUGUGAAAAGGAAAUGAUCAUACAUAAUUCACACAUUUGCUGUACGGAUUUAAUUAAAUGAUAGACAAAAAGUAGAGUGGCACAAGUCAAAAAAUAGUAACAACAAAAACAAUUUCAAAAUAAGCAACAGCAAUAAAUGUUACCUACUAUUUUACGAAUGAAAAUAUUGAGACCAAUAAAGGCAUUAUAGUAUAUGUAGCCUUGGAAUCAGAAGACCAAGAACAUACAAGAGAACAUAGCCUUGGAAUCAGAAGACCAAGAAACAAUUUAACUCUGCCCCUCUAGAGCUCUGAGAACUUGGGCAAGCCUUUUACCCUCUUGAAUUUUUGCCACCUUCAAUGAGAAAGACUGAAACAAAAAACUCAGAAGAAAGAAAGAGACUGAGAUAGCAAAUAUGACAAACCAUUAAAAAUUCGUGAAUCUGUUAUGGAAUACUAUGCAGCCAUAAAAAAGGAUGAGUUCCUGUCCUUUGCAGGGACAUGUAUGAAGCUGGAAACCAUCAUUCUCAGCAAACUAAAACAGGAACAGAAAACCAAACACCGCAUGUUCUCACUCAUAAGUGGGAGUUGAACAAUGAGAACACAUGGACACGGCGGGGGUGGUGGGAACAUCACACACUGGGGCCUGUCAGAGGGGAGGGGGCUAGGGGAGGGAUAGCAUUAGGAGAAAUAACUAAUGUAGAUGAUGGGUUGAUGGGUGCAGCAAACCACCAUGGCAUGUGUAUACCUAUGUAACAAACCUGCAUGUUCUGCACAUGUAUCCCAGAACUUAAAGUAUAAUAAUAAAAAAAGAGAUUAAAAAAAUUGGUGAAUCUCGGCAAAAUGUACACAGGAGUUUUCUGUACUGUUCUUGCAACUUUUCUACAGAUUUGAAAUGUUACAAAAUUAAAAGUAUUUUUAGAAAAAGA
Molecule: long non-coding RNA, 1109 nt
Filed under: Pan troglodytes (chimpanzee)
Lineage: Eukaryota; Metazoa; Chordata; Mammalia; Primates; Hominidae
Description: lincRNA
Source: RNAcentral